CACAUACGUGCAUGUAGGUACAUGGAUUGUGUGCUGUGUGGUGUGAGAGUUAAUAUUAGUCAUAAGGAUUGACAUAAACGAACCUGCCUUUGUCUCAGCCAGCCUACCGCGGUAGGUGGGUUAUAAGACAAAUUGCUGUCAUUGAAACAGUUAAACUAUGUGAAUUAUUGUUAUUCAAUACAUGCUGACACUGAAGGAAGAAACAAAGCUCUUUGCCUAUGUUUUGGGCACAGUGUGAAGCAGGUCAGCAGGCACCAGCCCGUUGGUGUGUACCUUCCAGCUGUGGAGAGCUGAAAAAAAUUUUUUUUCAAUGAGCAGUUUCAAGCCUGCCCCACCCUUAGCUCACAGAGCAGCAACACAGACAGGAGGAGUUAAACCAGAAGGUGAGAGAUGCUCAGCCGUGCUCCCUUCUCAGGAGCACAGUGCAGCUGGGUUAGCAUUCUCUGACUGUCAGAUUCGACUGGCUUCUCAAGGCUCACAAAAUGAGGGCAUUGUCUCUUUAAGACAAGAAGGGCUGCCUCCAGUGGAAUGGGUCUCAAGUUAGGCCAGUCAUUAGUUGGCUGUUCUCUCAAUCUCUGCUCCAUCUUUAUCCCUGUUUAUCUUGUAGACAGGACAAAUUUUGGGUUGAAGGUUUUGUGGGUGGGUUGAUGUCCUCCUUGCUCCAUUGGAAGUGGAGGUGGCCUCUUCUGUCUCCAUACCUCUUGCUGGUAGGAGUCUCAGCUAGGGUCACCCCUACAGACCCAGAUCUCCCAUUAGUCCCAGAGAUGCUCCCCCACUGAUCUUUGUUCUCAUUCCCAGCUCUCUCCCCACACCUGAUCCCCAUCCCCGUUCCCCUCCUCACACUGUCACCCACCCAGUUCCCUCCAUCCAUCCACUUCUGAUGACUAUUUUGUUUUCCCUUCUGGGUAAGAUUCACAAGUCUUCCCCUGACACUAUUAAUGAUAGUCUGCUUUGCUUGCAGAUGGAGCCUAGCAUAACUGCCUCCUGAGAGGCUUCAUCCAGCAGUGGAUGGAAGCGUGCAGAGACCCACGGCCAAACAUCAGGUGGCGUUCUGGGAGUCUUAUAGAAGAGUGGGGGAUAGGAUUAAGAGAGCCAGAGGGGUCAAGAACACCACAGGACCUACAAAGUCAACUAACCUGGGCCCAUGGGGGCUCACAGAGGCUGAACCACCAACUAUAGAGUGUACAGGGGCUGGAGCUAGGUCCCCUAUACAUAUGUAGCAUAUAAGUAACUUGGUCUUCAUGUGGGCCCCCUAACAUUGGAGCAGGGGCUGGCUCUGAUUCUUUUGCGUGCCAUUGGAUCCCCUUCCCAUAACAGGACUGCCUGGUUGGGCCUCAAUGGAGAGGAUGGGCUUGGCUUAAUCCUGCUGCAACAGGAUGUUCCAGGGCAGGUGACUCACGAGGGGCUUCCUCUUCUCUGAGAAGAAGGGGAUGGGUAAUGGGGGGGGGUUGUAAGGGUGGAACUGGGAGGAGAGGAGGGAUGGAGUGGGGGCUUCGAUUGGGAUGUAAAGUGAGUAAAUUAAUUAAUUAAUAAAAAAAGACAAGAAGGACAUUGUAUUCAAAGGUAAAGACUUGCAAGCCUAACAGAUAAAACCUUCUCAUAUCUGGUGGGUAGGACCUAGGGAUUUGGAUUUUUACACACAGCAUGGCACGGGGUGAGGGUUGUGGACUCAUGCCUGGGCUUGUUUGCUGUAGGAAACAGAGAUGUCUGUAUGAUACAAAUCCCAACACUUCUGUUCUUUUCUGUUUUGUUUUAGGAGUUGCUUUAGUAAAGGGAGGAGGAAUUAGCAGGAGCCUGGGGUUGUUCAAUGUAAAGAAAUGUGAAACUCAAGUCUUCAAGCUGGGCUUGUGCUGGGAUUCUACCUGAUGCCCCUGGUCUGGGGUGCAGCCAAGACAUCUUCCUGCAGGGCCUGUAUGGCAGACACUUAACAUUUAAAAUAGGCACAGUACAGUGUUUCAAAUGGAAUGACUUGUCCAAAGGAAUGACUGAGAACAGUGACUUAACUAUGGAUAGAUAGGAAGAAAUGAGAAUUCAGCAGGUAAUGCCUGUCAUGCGUCUCCUGAAGCUACAUCCCUGCCACAGACCCUUGCUGGAAACAACCCUACCAGCCUCUCUGCAGAGAGCUUGGCUUUGGACGAAGAAGGUGACAACACCCUACAGCACAGUACAGGGAACAUGAAGAUUGCCUUCAAACUGGAAGAUCAACCAGCAUAUGCCAUAUAACCUGACUUGGUAAGUCCUCAAUGCUGAAGGAGACAUCUUCACUAGCGCCUCCAAAGGUGACUUCGUGGACUGUUGGUUCCCCAACUUAUGAUUUAGUGGGGUACAUCUCCUUGACUGUAUAAACUGGGGUCAACACUCUGAUGUGUGCCCUGCAGAAAACAGCUCUAAGAGAAUGUGGAGGCGCUGGCGAAGCAGACUGUGCUGGCUGACACUGCAUAUCCAUAGACCACAUUUGGUGGUCCCUGCCUAUAACCAUGGACAAAAUUAGAAACUCUGUGGCCAUUCAGGGAUAUUACUCCUGUAAUGGGGGACAAUGAAGAUACCCUGAAUUAUUCUCUUGUCUCUUGGGCCCAUACUGUUCAACAAACUGAUGACUUUUGUACGACACCAGAUAGAUGCUAUUGAAAUGAAACCCAUACAGGUCCAUUAUCACAGGCUGGAAGUAGGGGACUCUAAAAUCUCUGUCAUCGAGACUGAUGAGGAAUAGCCCCUAACUUACUUGCUAAACCAGAUAGUUAAUAAUGGGUAAGAGAACACCUCAAAACCCGUGCCCCUAGGUGGGAGGUCUCACCAACCUAAGACAGGAGCUCAAUCAAAAAAGAACUGUUGAGUGUCCGGAGAUGGGAAAAGGGAGGCUAGACAGACUCAGUUUCUGUAAGUUUUCCCAGCCUUCCCUUUUGAAAAAAUUAAAAAGGGGGACCUGUUGGGAGCCGACUCUUAGCAGAAAGCAGCUAUCAUCUCUGCAGCCAUCUCGGGAUAUUUACUUACAGGUGGAACUUUUCCACCCUGAAGAGAAACUUGUUGUCCUAGCAUGAUGUUUUUGCAAGAAGCUGAACACACUCUGAUAACAUCUUGUUUUAUCUCCUAUACAUCCUGGACCUGUGGCUAAGUGUCUCCAGCUGCACUCCCCAGCGAGUGCAUAUAUACCCAUAGUUGCCUUUCAAUAAAUGAGACUUGAGACUUGGUCA
Mus musculus (house mouse) is the source of this 3191-nucleotide long non-coding RNA. RefSeq annotates it as predicted gene, 38851. The record is from RefSeq and is a predicted model, not a curated record. Lineage: Eukaryota; Metazoa; Chordata; Mammalia; Rodentia; Muridae. The transcript is spliced from 3 exons.